AGAUUGAACGCUGGCGGCAUGCCUUACACAUGCAAGUCGAACGGCAGCACGGGAGCAAUCCUGGUGGCGAGUGGCGAACGGGUGAGUAAUAUAUCGGAACGUGCCCAGUCGUGGGGGAUAACGUAGAGAAAUUUACGCUAAUACCGCAUACGAUCCAAGGAUGAAAGCGGGGGACCGUAAGGCCUCGCGCGACUGGAGCGGCUGAUAUCAGAUUAGCUUUGGUUGGUGAGGUAAAGCUCACCAAGGCGACGAUCUGUAGCGUGGUUUGAGAGAACGACCAGCCACACGUGGACUGAGACACCGGCCAGACCUCGACGGGAGCAGCAAGGUAGGAAUAGUUGGAAC
RNAcentral lists this ribosomal RNA (345 nucleotides) under uncultured soil bacterium. RNAcentral describes it as "bacterial SSU rRNA". It matches the Rfam family "Bacterial small subunit ribosomal RNA", at positions 26 to 371 of the family's 1533-position model. The record is from RNAcentral.